Molecule: long non-coding RNA, 1664 nt
Filed under: Heterocephalus glaber (naked mole-rat)
Lineage: Eukaryota; Metazoa; Chordata; Mammalia; Rodentia; Bathyergidae
Description: lncRNA (ENSHGLG00100036369.1)
Source: RNAcentral
GAUGGGAGGUGAUAAUCCCUCAAACUUACCAAUUAUGGUGGUCUGGUGUGCCUUUAUUGCAGAGAUGCUCUUCACUUUUCCAGUGGGCUUCAGUUUUCAUGAAGUAGCCUGAGAGAGGGCCUCUAUCUGUUGUUCACUUCUGCAGUUCUGGACAAUGCCCUUUAUGCCCCACUGUGCCUCUAAUGUGGAACCAGGGAUUGAACUCCAGACCUUGUGCUUGCAAGGCAGGCACUGGAACUACUGAGCUAAAUCUCCAGUCACUUAUUGUUAUCUUUCCUGAACAGACAUUAUUUUAAAAAGUAGCAUGGGAGUCACACAGAACAUGCCAAAUCAGCCCGCUACAGACAGGUAGGUCUGUGCACGCCCUACUGAGGUCCUGAGUCACGCGGAAGAUGCUGAAUCACCCCGCUGCAGACAGGCAGCCACCUGGUUCCACACUACAAAGACGCAGAGGAUGACACACCACCAGACCAAGGUACUGAGUCCCGCUGUUCCCGGCCCACAGGUAGGGGCUUCUGAGCUGCCAUCCCACUGCUCCUGAUCCAGAGGAAGGGGCUUCUGGGUCACCAUCCCUCCUGCUGCUCCCAGCCCAGAGGAAAGGGCUUUUGGGCCACCUUCUGUCCCACUGCUCCUGGCCCAGAGGAAGCGGCUUCCGCACCACCAUCCCACCCACCGCUCCCGGCCCAGAAGUAGGGGCUUCUGAGCCAACAUCCCACUGCUCCUGGUCUAGAGGAAGGGGCUUCCUGGUCACCAUCCUUCCCGCUGCUCCCAGCCCACAGGAAAGGGCUUUUGGGUCACCAUCUUUACCGCUGCUCCCAGCCCCUGACCCACCUCUCCCAGCUUAGAGGAGGUAAUCUGUGCAGGCACUAACAGCCCCCCGCCCCAGGCGAAAUGAGAAAACACAUAAAUAAGUCUCAAAACCAGACUUCCAGAUCACCUACAGCAACCCCAAAGGGAAAUGAGAUGGAACACUCUGAUACUCAACCACCUGGACCCACUGAACUGGCAAAAAAAGGGGAUCUGGAAAAAAUGAAAUCAGAAAUAAUUUCUCAGAUAACAGCAAAGAUUGUGUCCCUAGUGCAAGACAUGAUUAAUAAAACUAGAGAGGAGCUCAGGAACAUGAUGGAAUCACAACAUAAGAAACAAAUGGAAUCCAUAAAACAGAUGCAAAUAGAUUUCCAGGACAAGAAAAACUCCACUGAAAGUCUACACAGCAGAAUGAGCCAAUGUGAGGACAGAAUUUCAGAUAGAGAAGAUAAGAAUGCAAUUAGUGACCAGGAAAAGAAAAAUUGCUUCCAAAUUAUAAGGGAACAUGAGAAAUCAAUCCAGCAGCUGCUAGAUGAUGCAAAGAAGAAUAAUAUAAGACUGACUGGGCUCAAUGAAGAAACAGGAGUGAGUGCAGAUGACAUAAAAAAUCUCUUCACAGAAAUAAUGGCAGAAAACUUCCCAAGCAGGGGAAAAGAGCUUGACAUACAGAUAAGUGAGGCAUAUAGGACUCCAAAUAGCCUUGAUCAAAAAAAUUGACACAUAGGCAUAUAAUUGUUAAGAUUCCAGAAACACAACAGAAGAACAAAGUUCUCCAAGCAAUCAGAGCAAAGAAACAAAUCACAUACAAAGGAAAGCCCAUCAGAAUCACAGCAGACUUCUCAACACAAACCAUCAAG